RNAcentral lists this ribosomal RNA (311 nucleotides) under Chlorella regularis var. minima. RNAcentral's name for it is "SSU rRNA". It matches the Rfam family "Eukaryotic small subunit ribosomal RNA", at positions 626 to 944 of the family's 1831-position model. The record is from RNAcentral. Lineage: Eukaryota; Viridiplantae; Chlorophyta; Trebouxiophyceae; Chlorellales; Chlorellaceae.
GCUCGUAGUUGGAUUUCGGGUGGGUUCUAGCGGUCCGCCUAUGGUGAAUACUGCUAUGGCCUAUCUUACUGUCAUAAACGGGCUUCUGGGCUUAACUGUCCGGGACUCGGGUGUGAUACGGUUACUUUGAGUAAAUUAGAGUGUUCAAAGCAGGCUUACGCCCUGAAUACUUUAGCAUGGAAUAACGCGAUAGGACUCUGCCCUAUCUCGUUGGCCUGUAGGAGUGGAGUAAUGAUUAAGAGGGACAGUCGGGGGCAUUCGUAUUUCAUUGUCAGAGGUGAAAUUCUUGGAUUUAUGAAAGACGAACUACU